GAUGAAGAAACGCAGUGAAAUGCGAUACGUAAUGUGAAUUGCAGAAUUCAGUGAAUCAUCGAGUCUUUGAACGCACAUUGCGCCCCCUGGUAUUCCGGGGGGCAUGCCUGUCCGAGCGUCAUUGCUGCCCUCAAGCACGGCUUGUGUGUUGGGCCUCCGUCCUCCUCCCGGGGGACGGGCCCGAAAGGCAGCGGCGGCACCGCGUCCGGUCCUCGAGCGUAUGGGGCUUCGUCACCCGCUCUUGUAGGCCCGGCCGGCGCUUGCCGACACAUCAAUCUUUUUUCCAGGUUGACCUCGGAUCAGGUAGGGAUACCCGCUGAACUUAAGCAUAUCAAUAAGCGGAGGA
Molecule: unclassified non-coding RNA, 346 nt
Filed under: soil metagenome
Description: partial contains 5.8S ribosomal RNA, internal transcribed spacer 2, and large subunit ribosomal RNA
Rfam family: 5.8S ribosomal RNA (bases 1-121)
Source: RNAcentral